UGCGGUUAUACAAAAAUUAAAUUAAAUUUUUUUUAGGGAUUAAUAAAUAAAUUUAUAUUAAAUAGCUUAAAUUUUAAAUUAUAAAGUGAAAUUUUAAUUUAAAUAAAAUUUAUUUAUUUUUAUUAUAUUAAUAAAUUUUAUAAAAAACUAGGAUUAGAUACCCUAUUAUAAAAAUUUAAAUUAAUAAUCUUAAAAUAGUAUAUAAUUUUUUAUAGAAACUUAAAUAAUUUGGCGGUAUUUUAGUUCAUUUAGAGGAAUCUGUCUAAUAAUUGAUAAUCCACGAUAAAAUUUACUUAAUUUAUAAUUUUGUAUAUCGUUGUUAAAAAAAUAUUUUUAAAUGAUUAUAAUAUUUUAAAAUUUGAAUAAAAAUUUAAAUCAGAUCAAGAUGCAGAUUAUAAUUAAGAAUAUGAUGGAUUACAAUAAAUUUUAUUUUAUUUGGAUGUUAAUUUGAAAUAAAUUAAUUGAAAUUGGAUUUAAAUGUAAUUUUAUUAAUUUUGUUAAAAUGAUUAAAAAUUAAAAUAUGUACAUAUUGCCCGUCGCUUUCAUUUAUAAAUUGAAAUAAGUCGUAACAAAGUAGAGGUACUGGAAAGUGUUUCUAGAAAGAU
Molecule: ribosomal RNA, 605 nt
Filed under: Zygaena ephialtes albaflavens
Lineage: Eukaryota; Metazoa; Arthropoda; Insecta; Lepidoptera; Zygaenidae
Description: partial 12S ribosomal RNA
Source: RNAcentral